AGCAGCCGCGGUAAUUCCAGCUCCAAUAGCGUAUAUUAAAGUUGUUGCAGUUAAAAGCUCGUAGUUGAAUUUCGGAAUCUGUCCGUCGGUCGGGCUUAACUGUCCGUACUGGUGUGGUGGGUUCUUACCUUCUGAAUAACCAGCAUGCCAUUAAUUUGGUGCGUUGGGGAAGCAGGACUAUUACCUUGAAAAAUUGAGUGCUCAAAGCAGGCUAGUGCCUGAAUACAUUAGCAUGGAAUAAUAAAAUAGGACGGCAUGGUUCUAUUUUGUUGGUUUCUAGGAUCACCGUAAUGAUUAAUAGGGAUAGUUGGGGGCAUUAGUAUUCAAUUGUCAGAGGUGAAAUUCUUGGAUUUAUU
This 356-nucleotide unclassified non-coding RNA is filed under the name uncultured Glomus. RNAcentral describes it as "SSU rRNA". It matches the Rfam family "Eukaryotic small subunit ribosomal RNA", at positions 569 to 930 of the family's 1831-position model. Lineage: Eukaryota; Fungi; Glomeromycota; Glomeromycetes; Glomerales; Glomeraceae. The record is from RNAcentral.